AGUGGAGUCCAGCCAGAGUACCAGGAGCUUGGGGCAUUGUCUACGUGAUUGGUAGCCACAGGAUAAUGGAGUUGAGGGUUCCUGGUGUCAGUAGCCUAAUGCUUGGGCACGCAGCUCACUGUUCCGUCCCUUAUAGAAUUUUCUACUGGGUCUCAAGAGUAAGCCUCCCUCAACCAGAACACAGACUGCUUUUCAUGGUUCAACAUAAAACAAGAACAGAAAGGUACAUGUCUGUUACUCUGGACCUAGAGACCUUGAAAGAGUCAAGAACUUAAGAGCCCACUACCACCCAACAUUUUCUCCAAGAGAUCCUGCUCACCUGACAGCCAUUGGUGCCAUUUGUUUGCACCAAGGAAGACCCUACAGCCUCACAGUUUUUCCAGUUUAAUCAAAACUGAAAUACUGAUAUAUGUAUUCCAAGUGGAGACACAGGGAUGAGACAAACCACAGCAAUUUUAACCCUAGCAUGGAUAGAGCUCCCUUUCCUCCAGCAAGGAGGGAAGAGGCCAGUGAAACUUGGUGUGCUGACUUAUGAAUGGAGGUGGAGGACCUGAUUCUGAGAAGGUGCAAGAAAGAAGGAACUCAAGAAGACGUGGAUGAAGUGAAGAAUGAAGGUAUCCAGGCCCUACAAGGGGCAUGUAUUGAGUGGUUCUCAACAUCCCUCAUGCUGUGGUGACCCCACCAUAAAAUUAUUUUUGCUGCUGUAA
Mastomys coucha (southern multimammate mouse) is the source of this 707-nucleotide long non-coding RNA. RefSeq lists it as uncharacterized. Lineage: Eukaryota; Metazoa; Chordata; Mammalia; Rodentia; Muridae. The record is from RefSeq and is a predicted model, not a curated record. The transcript is spliced from 4 exons.